AGAGUUUGAUCCUGGCUCAGGACGAACGCUGGCGGCGUGCUUAACACAUGCAAGUCGAACGGUGAAGUCCCUUCGGGGGCGGAUCAGUGGCGAACGGGUGAGUAACACGUGGGCAAUCUGCCCCUCACUGUGGGAUAACUCCGGGAAACCGGGGCUAAUACCGCAUAUGAAGCCUGGCGGCAUCGCCGGGUUUGGAAAGUUUUUCGGUGAGGGAUGAGCCCGCGGCCUAUCAGCUUGUUGGUGAGGUAAUGGCUCACCAAGGCGACGACGGGUAGCCGGCCUGAGAGGGCGACCGGCCACACUGGGACUGAGACACGGCCCAGACUCCUACGGGAGGCAGCAGUGGGGAAUAUUGGGCAAUGGGCGAAAGCCUGACCCAGCGAC
RNAcentral lists this ribosomal RNA (384 nucleotides) under uncultured bacterium. RNAcentral's name for it is "bacterial SSU rRNA". It matches the Rfam family "Bacterial small subunit ribosomal RNA", at positions 8 to 395 of the family's 1533-position model. The record is from RNAcentral.